RNAcentral lists this ribosomal RNA (253 nucleotides) under uncultured bacterium. Its description in RNAcentral is "partial 16S ribosomal RNA". It matches the Rfam family "Bacterial small subunit ribosomal RNA", at positions 524 to 776 of the family's 1533-position model. The record is from RNAcentral.
UACGUAGGGUACAAGCGUUGUCCGGAAUUAUUGGGCGUAAAGAGCUCGUAGGCGGUUUGUCGCGUCGGCUGUGAAAACCUGGGGCUCAACCCCGGGCCUGCAGCCGAUACGGGCAAACUAGAAUUCGGUAGGGGAGACUGGAAUUCCUGGUGUAGCGGUGAAAUGCGCAGAUAUCAGGAGGAACACCGGUGGCGAAGGCGGGUCUCUGGGCCGAUAUUGACGCUGAGGAGCGAAAGCGUGGGGAGCAAACAGG